GGACAUUUAAAUAGUUUAAUAUUGAACAAUAAAUAGUUUAAUACAUACAUUGCAUGAGAUAACAUCAGAGAUCACUUUUGUAUUAUCAUAUACUGGCUUUCCUUAAAGUAAAGGCAGAAAUUGACAAUUGAAGUUGUUUACCCCAAAAUUGGACUGACAAUACUUAAAAACCAUGUCAUGCUUUGCAUGGGGAUGGUGCAAUUCACACAGUUGUGGUAUAUAAAGUAAUCUUGCAAGUGAGAAAGAGGCUAGAACAAUCGUCUUGAUAAAUUGACUACCAGAGAACGACAAUGCAAGAAAACAAAUAAGGUAUAUAAAGUUAUCUUGCAAGUGGGAAAGAGGCUAGAACAAUCGUCUUGACUACAAGAGGACGACAAUGCAUGAAAACAAAUAAGGUACUUAGCCAUCUCAAUGACGAAAAGAAAUUAAGAAACUUCAACCAUAUAUGGUCCAUGACAAGAACAAGGAGGAAUGAAAAAAGCUGAAAUCGUCUACUUAUAUAUUAGCGCUGAUAAAAUAGAAACGAAACAGAGAAGUGAUGUGAUAACUAGCAGUCUUGAGACAUGAAAAGAAACAACAACUAAACAUGUCUUUGUUUCCUUUUGCGGGGUUGGUUGAGUUGGACCAAACUCGGAAGGUAAGAAGAAGAGCACACAACCGGGGGACGGUAUAUACUGGGCACAUAACUACGCCCGGAUAUGAGACAAGGUUCCCCGAGAUUGGGAGCGACUCCAAGAGUCAGAGGUUUGAAGUAUCCGUCUUCUCCACUUAUAAAAGCUGUGUGGUAACGAACUUUCUCGGUAAGGGGGGGAAUGGGGGCUAGGUAUCCGUCUAUGUCGAACACCACCGCGAUUUUCUGUUCCUCGUCAAUGAAGAAGGUCCCGCCCAUAUUAGUAUUGUCAAACCGUUCACCAGCGAGAGAGACUGGUCUCAUGUUCACUAUCAAAAACUUGCUCCAGGACACAGAGUUGGGCUCGAUCUUAGUAGUGACCCAAAACUCAACUGUGCUAACCCAAUCAUCAUGAACACCCUCAUUAUGAUAUAGCACCACGAGCUGCUCGUCUCUAACACUAGAGAAAGUCACAGGCGCGUGGAGAGUAGAGUGAAACGGAAGAGGCAGACGAGGACCAAAUGUCUCUGUUGUGAAAUCAAAACAGAGUAAGAAAUCUUCAAGAUCAAAUAUCUCUUCAGCAGAUGUCUGAUCAUCUUCUUGAGCAAAAAAGUAGGCAUUUCCCUUCACAGACGCGCUAUAAUUAGACUCUAUCAAAGCAUCGGGAGGGACCUUGAGAUCCUUCCAUGAAUUAGAGCUCAACUGGUAGAUUUCGUACCUGGAAACUUUUUCUGGAUGGGCAUAAUAUUCCUGAAACCUCACGAUUUUGUGGUUGCGGUUCAUGUCGUAUCCGAAAGCAUACCUGUCUUGGCAGUGGAAAUUGUUGCUGGGUCUGAUCCACCUUGUUUGUCCCAAAUAAGGGUUCCAAACCACCAGCCUCGACUUGUCCUCAGCGACGCACAACAGUAAGCCGUCGCAGUGAUGCACAAUAGAUAUCUUGACUUGAUUAAGCAAAUCUACCUGCUCUAUAACCAAGUAGUCUUCUUCUUCUUCUUCUUUCUUUCUACUAUGGAAUCUAAUUGAUCAAACUUUGGAAUCCAUCGUCAUAAACCCCAAAAACUGCUGCCUUGGCGCUGACGCUUUACCCAAAACCCAAUCUUUGGAUAAAGCGUUCCACAAUUUGCAAGUGGAUCUCACAGCUCGCAGAGAUGUUAUCGGAACCCUCGUUAAUAUCUUCUCCCCUACCAAUUUUGGUGGAAGAUCGCAGAUCUUCGUCCUCUUCAUUCUUCUUCCAACUUUUUUUUUGCCGGCCCUCGUCAUAUUUCCAACUGUUCAACAGAAGCUACGCAAUAGAAAUUACUAGGGUUCUGUAUCUUGCUUUUUUAUUUAUUUAUUGAGACAAUUAUGAUGAUAUAUGUGUAAUACUGUAAUGUAUGUUAGUUUCCGUAUUCACAAAAAAAGAAAAGGAAAAAAAAACUCUAUUCCUUCUCUUAUGUGUAAAAUGUACAUUUAAUUUAAGAAAAAUAGAUAAUCAAAUUGUUUGCAUUUUUGUUUAAUUAGCUUCAUCCUGAUUUCAAUAUUUAGCUUUGAUACGAUGUUAUUUUCAUCUAACGUUUUUUUUUUUUAAAACAGAGCAACAUAAUUUGUGCAUUAGUGUUUUGCAAACCAAAACAUUACAAGGUUUUCAAAGAAAUGUAACCAGCUCUAGAGAAAUGUGGACAACUCAAAUCUGUCAUACCUUUGAACAUAGAAGCUACGCAAUAUAAAAACAGAGCAACACAAACAUUAGCAUACAGUAGUUAUAAAGUAGUGUUGUGUAAACCAAAACAUUACCACUUUUGAUAGAUAAAAAACAAUGUAAGCAGCUCCAAAUUUAAAGUUUCAAUUUACGCAAACGAAUCCAAGUACAUCUGUUUUAUGUAUCCUACCCAAGCCCAUGCAUUUGAAACCAUGCCACGACUUUGUAAUCCCCCAAAUUAACCUUUAAUUUUUGGAAGAGACUACUUAACUAGCUAAGAGAAGAGAUCAGGUCUCAUGGUGAAUUAGGAAAAACUUGGGAAAUAAACUUGAACCUUACACUGGAAACAAAGGAUCAAAUGUGUUUUUUACCAUCAUGGCUUCAUAGAUGUCAUCUACAACUGCUAUUUUAACAUAGAUAACAGCCUGAGCAUACUUGGUACUAGUAGUACUUAAUGGUCAUCUGAAACAACCCGAAUUGUUGAAUCAGCACUUCUUGAGUCAAUAUAAUGUAGUUUCAUAAAAUUGCACAACUAAUCCAACUGAUGUGCUGUCAAGUAAUAUUGUCAUAUCUGGUUGCACAAGAAACAGAGCCCUCAAAUGUGACAAAAUCAAAAUUUAUAAACGAGAGAUGUGUUUUAUGUCUGGCUAUGGAAUUUUUCAAACAGACAAGUGAAAAAGUGGCUAGAACAAUCGUCUUGAUAAAUUGACUACCAGAGGACGACAGUGCAAGAAAACAAAUAAGGUACUUAACCAUCUCAAUGACGAAAAGAAAUCAAGAAACUUUAACUAUAUAUGGUCCAUGACAAGAACAAGGAGGAAUGAGAAAAAGCUGAAAUCGUCUACUUAUUAACCCUGAUAAAAUAGAAACGAAACUGAGAAGUGAUGUGAUAACUAGCAGUCUUGAGACAUGAAAAGAAACAAAAACUAAAAAUGUCUUUGUUUCCUUUUGCGCAGUUGGUUGAGUCGGACCAAACUCGGAAGGUAAGAAGAAGAGCACACAACCGGGGGACGGUAUAUACUGGACACAUAACUACGCCCGGAAACAAGAUCAUCUAACCCGAGAUUAGGAGCGACUCCAAGAGUCAGAGGUUUGAAGUAUCCGUCUUCUCCACUUAUAAAAGCUGUGUGGUAACGAACUUUCUCGGUAAGGGGGGGAAUGGGGGCUAGGUAUCCGUCUAUGUCGAACACCACAGCGAGUUUCUGUUCCUCGUCAAUGAAGAAGGUCCCGCCCAUAUUAGUAUUGUCAAACCGUUCACCAGUGAGAGAGAAUGGUCUCAUGUUCACUAUCAAAAACUUGCUCCAGGACACAGAGUUGGGCUCGAUCUUAGUAGUAACCCAAAACUCAACUGUGCUAACCCGAUCAUAA
RNAcentral lists this long non-coding RNA (3656 nucleotides) under Capsella rubella. RNAcentral's name for it is "long non-coding RNA (CRUB_LNC004782)". The record is from RNAcentral. Lineage: Eukaryota; Viridiplantae; Streptophyta; Magnoliopsida; Brassicales; Brassicaceae.